AGCAGCUGCUCACCACCAUUGCCCGCACCAUCAACGAGGUAGAGAAUCAGAUCCUCACCCGAGAUGCCAAGGGCAUCAGCCAGGAGCAAAUGCAGGAGUUCCGAGCCUCCUUCAACCACUUUGACAAGGACCAUGGCGGGGCACUGGGGCCUGAGGAAUUCAAGGCCUGCCUCAUCAGCCUGGGCUACGACGUGGAGAAUGACCGGCAGGUACGCGCACCACAGCCCCAGCAGACUGGCAUUAACUGCUCUUUUCUCUUUUCUCCCUCCCUCUCACCACUCCCCUGCCAUUCUGUGCUGUCUCCUGGCUCUCUUGCCUCCUCCCUCAUGUCUCUGGACACUUUUCCCCUUACCUGGUCUCUGGGCCUCCUGGCUCCUUGCUUCUCCAUUGUCCUGUCUGUCCGCUGUGCACAUGGGGCCUACUCUGGGCCUGGCCUCUGCUAUGCCUGCGUCCUGGGAGCAGAAGCAGACAGGCAGCAUGGACUCAGAUGACUUCAGGGCUCUGCUUAUCUCCACAGGAUACAGCCUGGUAUGCUGCCUCUGCCUCCCCUGCCUCUGCUCCUCCUCCUUCCCCAGCCCCCUCACUGCCUCCUGAGCUUCCAUAUCUUCCUGGGGCCGCUCCUCCACCCUGCAGUGCAACAAGGCCUUGCUUGCCUCCUUCUCUGCUCUGCUGCACUGGAGGGACUGGGGUCCUUCCAGUGGACACCCCACCCCCCAUCCCCAACAAACAAAAUCCACCUCUUCCUACAAGUGUCUAGGGGACAGUCUUCCCACUCUCCCUUCUCUUUCUGUUUCUCGCUUUCUUCCCCCACUCACAGAGCUACUUUAAGCCAGAGCUGGGACAGUGAACCCAAUCCUCUGCUUCCCUAGACUUUUGGGGGUGGGGGAGGCCAAGGAAUAAACUCAAGAUCUAGCACU
This 917-nucleotide long non-coding RNA is filed under the name Rattus norvegicus (Norway rat). Its description in RNAcentral is "long non-coding RNA NONRATT002471". The record is from RNAcentral. Lineage: Eukaryota; Metazoa; Chordata; Mammalia; Rodentia; Muridae.